GCCCACAGUGUGUGAGGACCUCACAGGGCAAGGCAUUCCUGGCACUGUGAAGAAACCUGGCCUGUCCACUCAACGCGAGGAGGAGCCUUUCUCAUAGGAAGACCACCUGCCCCUGCAGGUGCUUCAGUCCCAUUGAUGGCCGGACGAGGCA
Long non-coding RNA from Octodon degus (degu), 151 nucleotides. RefSeq lists it as uncharacterized. Lineage: Eukaryota; Metazoa; Chordata; Mammalia; Rodentia; Octodontidae. The transcript is spliced from 2 exons. The record is from RefSeq and is a predicted model, not a curated record.